AAACUAACAAGGAUUCCCCUAGUAACGGCGAGUGAACCGGGAAGAGCUCAAAUUUGAAAUCUGGCGUCCUCAGGGCGUCCGAGUUGUAAUCUAUAGAGGCGUUUUCCGUGCCGGACCGUGUCCAAGUCCCUUGGAACAGGGUAUCAAAGAGGGUGACAAUCCCGUACUUGACACGACUACCGGUGCUCUGUGAUACGUCUUCUACGAGUCGAGUUGUUUGGGAAUGCAGCUCAAAAUGGGUGGUGAGUUCCAUCUAAAGCUAAAUAUUGGCGAGAGACCGAUAGCGAACAAGUACCGUGAGGGAAAGAUGAAAAGCACUUUGGAAAGAGAGUUAAACAGUACGUGAAAUUGUUGAAAGGGAAACGAUUGAAGUCAGUCGUGACCGAGAGGCUCAGCCGGCUCUGCCGGUGUAUUCCCCUCGGUCGGGUCAACAUCAGUUUUGUCCGGUGGAUAAGGGCGGCAGGAAUGUGGCACCCUCGGGUGUGUUAUAGCCUGCUGUCGCAUACACCGGGUGAGACUGAGGAACGCAGCUCGCCUUUAUGGCCGGGGCCCGCCCACGUACGAGCUUAGGAUGUUGACGUAAUGGCUUUAAACGACC
This 598-nucleotide ribosomal RNA is filed under the name Cryptococcus sp. DMKU-SP423. RNAcentral describes it as "eukaryotic LSU rRNA". It matches the Rfam family "Eukaryotic large subunit ribosomal RNA", at positions 62 to 649 of the family's 3401-position model. Lineage: Eukaryota; Fungi; Basidiomycota; Tremellomycetes; Tremellales; Cryptococcaceae. The record is from RNAcentral.